GUAGCUGGCCUUCCGAGGCAUGUGCACGCCCUGCUCAUUCCACUCUACACCUGUGCACUUACUGUGGGUCUCAGGCGAGCGUCGGUCGCUUCGCGGCGUCGUCGUUCAACUGGGCUCACGUUUUACUACAAACUAUUAAAGUAUCAGAAUGUCUACUGCGAAUUAACGCAUUUAAAUACAACUUUCAGCAACGGAUCUCUUGGCUCUCGCAUCGAUGAAGAACGCAGCGAAAUGCGAUAAGUAAUGUGAAUUGCAGAAUUCAGUGAAUCAUCGAAUCUUUGAACGCACCUUGCGCUCCUUGGUAUUCCGAGGAGCAUGCCUGUUUGAGUGUCAUGAAAUUCUCAACCUAACGAGUCUUUGCGGGCUCGGUAGGCUUGGACUUGGAGGUUCUUGUCGGCCUAACGGUCGGCUCCUCUUAAAUGCAUUAGCUCGGUUCCUUGCGGAUCGGCUCACGGUGUGAUAAUUGUCUACGCCGCGACCGUUGAAGCGUUUUGGCCGGCUUCUAAUCGUCUCGUUGGAGACACUACUCUUUAUGACCUUCUGACCUCAAAUCAGGUAGGACUACCCGCUGAACUUAAGCAUAUCAAUAAGCGGAGGAAAAGAAACUAACAAGGAUUCCCCUAGUAACUG
This is a ribosomal RNA of 630 nucleotides. The stretch from base 180 to 333 matches the Rfam family "5.8S ribosomal RNA".